Canis lupus familiaris (dog) is the source of this 2912-nucleotide long non-coding RNA. RefSeq lists it as uncharacterized. The record is from RefSeq and is a predicted model, not a curated record. Lineage: Eukaryota; Metazoa; Chordata; Mammalia; Carnivora; Canidae. The transcript has 3 exons.
GCAGCAGCCGUAGCUCUCCGUCGUCGUCGUCGUGUCAUCACUCGGGGAUGCUGGCAUCGCCCCGGAGGGCAGGCUGGCUCAGGGGAUCCAAGCAGGGCUGAGGGGCUGAGGGGACAAUGGGGCAGCCACCAAGAGAGCCAGAGUGCACCUCCAGCUCCCCAGGCCUCAGAAGGGGGGGAGGAAUCCCAGGAAGGCAGCACCGAGCAGCCUGCACCCCGGGGAGGCUGGUUUGGAUUUUCCAUCCAGUGGGUUGAUGAAGACAGGAGGAGAGUUGUGAACCCUGACAAAUCGGAAGAUGCUGUCCUGUCAAGGGGCUUCCAGAUGAUGGCGGAUCAUCCUCCUGCCUUGCUCAGCCCUUAUUUUACGCAGUCGCCAGGGUUCCAGGAGCAACUCCUCCAUGCUGCUUGCAUUCCAGAAUGAAGCUCUUUCUGAAGAAGGGGUGAGGCCCCCUUUCAAAGAGGUGAGCCACCCAGAGUGUCCUGGGGGGGGGACUUUGCUGAGCUGUGACAAGAGACAUUUAUUCUCCACCCAUCUGUUUAGUCACUGGGUAUCACCCAGAGGCUCUGAAAAUCUGCUGUGUUAGAAAGAAAGAAAGGAAAGAAAGAAAGAAAAAGAAAGAAAGAAGAAAGAAAGAAAAAAGAAGAAAGAAAGAAGAAAGAGAGAAAGAAAGAAAGAAAGAAAGAAAGAAAGAAAGAAAGAAAGAAAGAAAGAAAGAAAGAAAGAAAGAAAGAACUCCAGUUGCCUGCUGAAAAGGAAAUGCAGAAGGGGCCUGCAGAAGAGGCCCACGUUCUGCGUUCUGCGUCUGGCCCUGCCUCGAGAGGCUGAGCAAAGCAGGCCAUUCCUUCCCCUCUCAGAUGCCUCCCCUCAAAAGGAAGGAUAAUAAGAAGAGCUCCUUUUGAGAAUUCCCAUCAGCCAAUGUAGGGAAAGAUGCUACCGCACUGUUUUUCGUUCAGCAAACAUUUGCUGAGCCCCCACUGUGUGCCAGAGAAUGUUCUAGGUUGUGGGAGACGACAGCAGGGGCACAAGAUAGGCAAUAGCCCUGCCCUCAUGGAGCUGAUGUUCUAGAAGGUGGGAGAACUCAUCUCUUUUAGUCUCUCGGAGUCAUUUCUGAGUUCAUUGUGGAAGCUACACAGGGCUUUGUAUGGGGCUUGGGACAGAGCAGGUGGUCAAUACUUUUUUUUUCUUUUUUUAACCAAUGAAUGGUAAAUAGCCAAACACCAGGAGGAAGGGACCAGUGGUAGUGUACAUGUAAGGCAGAGUGGGUGGUGAUUCUGGGUCUGGAGGCUGGGGCCCUAAGCCUCUUAAGUCCUGGAGACAUCAGGGGCCCUGCAAAAGAUUCUCAGCCCAGCCAAGAUGGCCCUGACCAAGGCUGGUCACCCCUACACCUCCUUUGUGUACCCCUCUGAGCAUCUGACUUUCUGAUCUCCACCUCUACAUGGAGUGAGCAGGAAUUCUGACCAGAAUAUAGGUGGCAUUGUAAAUUAAAAGCUUUCUCCAUCCCUGUUGAUGCAGGCUUGGGAUGCUGUGGAGGGACUGCAAGUCUGGGAACCAGAUAAUCAGUGCUUCAAAUCCUGUCUCUGCCACUCACUUGUGUGAUCCUGGGAAGGGUAUGAACCUCUCCUAAACUUUACUUUUCUUGUCUUUAAAAUGUGGACUAUGUGUCCCACCAGGUUGUUUCGAGGAUUAACUGGACAUAAAGGCACAGAGGCCGGGAUGCAAGGAGUGGACAAGAGGUUGAAACACACAAUUUACAGAGAUCAGACAAGCAAUUUAAACAGGUGAAGCAGCUUGGGUGUGGGCAAUAGGGGCUGGUGGAGAGUGUGGCAAACAAGAGAGCACCUGCCCUGUUUAAAGGCCAAUUCCUGCCAACUGUCCUCAUGUAGGGAUGUAGGGCCCAAGGUUACCAAAUCUUCUGAUUUUCUAAACAGAGGCCCCAAAUCCCGAUUUUCAUAUGAAAUCUCCUAACUUUAAAAUAAUGCCAAUGAAGGGUGCCUGGGUGGCUCAGUCAGUUGAACAGCAACUCUUGUCUUCGACUCUGGCCAUGAUCUCAGGGUCAUGGGAUCAAGCCCUACAUCUGGCUCUACACUCAGCGAGGAAUCUGCUUAAGGAUUUCUUUGCCUCUGCCUCUCCCCUCAGCUUGUAUUCUCACGCACUCUCUCUCUCUCAAAUAAAUCUUUUUUUUUUUUUUUUAAAUGGUCCCAAUUAACUUGUUAAAAGUCAUAAAGCUGUGCAAGGGCAACUAAACACAUUGUGGCCACAGGGCAACUCCAGGUUACAAAUGCGGGGUUCCUCUUCCCCUUGACUUUGCAGCCAGGCAGGGGUCGAGGGGAGCUGGGUACAAGGAAAUAAUCUCACCAUUCUGAAUUAGCACUGUGGUUGACCCUAUGAAGGGGAAGCACCCAGGGCCUGGAGAGCAUAUUCCAAGGAGAAGGGGAAGCUUCUCAGAGAAGGAAGAGACUCGAGUCUGGGCUCCUGGCAUGAAGGGGAGCAGGCAAGAGACAAGGAAAGGGCAUGCCCGCAGAGGAGAGCCCACAGCCAAAGGCUGGGGAGUGGGUCUUGGCUCUAUCCCCCAGGGGAUUAGAAAGGCACCCAGCCUAGCACAGAGACUCUGCCCACACAGCUCACCACUCACCGGGGGGAGGAACGGGGUGCAGCCCUUCCAGAGAACUCUGCCAGGUUCAGGAAUCACCCACCAGAAUCCCAGUGAGUGGAGCCCCCUCCCCACAGACUAGCUGCACAUCAAGGUGGGGGAACCUCCUAUGGGGCCUCUCUGCCUGACCUCAUCCAGUGACUCUUAGCUCCCAGCCCCUGCCCAGCCCACUCUUUCCUGAAGUAGAGAACCUGGAAGCACACUUCAGAUUCCUCUGCAGAUUAUGUGCUAUUUGGGGCGAGGCCUGGCACAUUCCAGAACA